GAUGAACGCUGGCGGCGUGCCUAAUACAUGCAAGUCGAGCGAACGGACGAGAAGCUUGCUUCUCUGAUGUUAGCGGCGGACGGGUGAGUAACACGUGGAUAACCUACCUAUAAGACUGGGAUAACUUCGGGAAACCGGAGCUAAUACCGGAUGAUAUUUUGAACCGCAUGGUUCAAAAGUGAAAGACGGUCUUGCUGUCACUUAUAGAUGGAUCCGCGCUGCAUUAGCUAGUUGGUAAGGUAACGGCUUACCAAGGCAACGAUGCAUAGCCGACCUGAGAGGGGGGUCGGCCAAACUGGAACUGGGACACGGGCCAGACUACUACGGGAGGCGGCAGUAGGGAAUCUUACGCAAUGGGCGAAAGCCUGACGGAGCAACGCCGCGUGAGUGAUGAAGGUCUUCGGAUCGUAAAAAUCUGUUAUUAGGGAAGAACAUAUGUGUAAGUAACUGUGCACAUCUUGACGGUACCUAAUCAGAAAGCCACGGCUAACUACGUG
This 497-nucleotide ribosomal RNA is filed under the name uncultured bacterium. RNAcentral describes it as "partial 16S ribosomal RNA". It matches the Rfam family "Bacterial small subunit ribosomal RNA", at positions 28 to 507 of the family's 1533-position model. The record is from RNAcentral.